CGAGCUUUUGUUCUGCUGUUUGGCCCUCCUGCCUACCCAGGGUCUAGGCUGUCCUUUAAUGGCUGCAUUUUCCUUCUCAGCUGCUUUGCGCGGCACAGCUGAGGUUGAACAACCAGGAAACA
This is a non-coding RNA of Pseudonaja textilis, 122 nucleotides long. The record is from RefSeq and is a predicted model, not a curated record. Lineage: Eukaryota; Metazoa; Chordata; Lepidosauria; Squamata; Elapidae.